Molecule: ribosomal RNA, 490 nt
Filed under: uncultured bacterium
Lineage: Bacteria
Description: partial 16S ribosomal RNA
Rfam family: Bacterial small subunit ribosomal RNA
Source: RNAcentral
GAUGAACGCUCGCUACAGGCUUAACACAUGCAAGUCGAGGGGCAGCAUGGUCUUAGCUUGCUAAGGCCGAUGGCGACCGGCGCACGGGUGAGUAACACGUAUCCAACCUGCCGUCUACUCUUGGACAGCCUUCUGAAAGGAAGAUUAAUACAAGAUGGCAUCAUGAGUUCACGUGUUCACAUGAUUAAAGGUAUUCCGGUAGACGAUGGGGAUGCGUUCCAUUAGAUAGUAGGCGGGGUAACGGCCCACCUAGUCUUCGAUGGAUAGGGGUUCUGAGAGGAAGGGCCCCCACAUUGGAACUGAGACACGGUCCAAACUCCUACGGGAGGCAGCAGUGAGGAAUAUUGGUGAAUGGGCGAGAGCCUGAACCAGCCAAGUAGCGUGAAGGAUGACUGCCCUAUGGGUGGUAAACUUCUUGUAGAAAGGAAGAAAGUCGGGUAUGUAUACCCGUUUGCAUGUACUUUAUGAAUAAGGAUCGGCUAACUCCGUG